Molecule: long non-coding RNA, 314 nt
Organism: Bradysia coprophila
Lineage: Eukaryota; Metazoa; Arthropoda; Insecta; Diptera; Sciaridae
Source: RefSeq, a predicted model, not a curated record
AAUUAAUCUAGUUUGACAACUGAAUUAACGAAUAUGUUCCCAAGCAGACAAUUUAUCAACUUACUCAUCAUCUCUGGUUUUUUGAUUAUUACUCCCUUAGUAGAGGGUAUAAAUCAAUAUGACUGCUAUUAUGGAUGGUGUCGUUCUUGGUGUAAUACCAAAGAAUCGGGAUACUGGUGUUACACAACAAAAGGUCAAAAGCUCGACGGAGGAUAUGUUAAAUGCAGUUGGAGUGGGGAAUGUAAAGAGAGUUGGCAAUGUGCUGGGGCUUGUUAUAAACCACGCCUGUAAAUAAAAGAACUUGAGGUGCUUUA